Molecule: ribosomal RNA, 325 nt
Filed under: uncultured eukaryote
Lineage: Eukaryota
Description: partial 18S ribosomal RNA
Rfam family: Eukaryotic small subunit ribosomal RNA
Source: RNAcentral
CCCUUAGAUGUUCUGGGCCGCACGCGCGCUACACUGAUGCAUUCAACGAGCCUAUCCUUGACCGACAGGUCCGGGUAAUCUUUGAAUCUGCAUCGUGGCGGGGAUAGAUUAUUGCAAUUAUUAAUCUUCAACGAGGAAUGCCUAGUAGGCGCAAGUCAUCAGCUUGCGUCGAUUACGUCCCUGCCCUUUGUACACACCGCCCGUCGCUCCUACCGAUUGGGUGUGCUGGCGAAAUGUUCGGAUCGGCCGUUUGUCGCGGUUUCCGCGUCAUGUGGCUGAGAAGUUCAUUAAACCCUCCCACCUAGAGGAAGGAGAAGUCGUAACA